Molecule: long non-coding RNA, 517 nt
Filed under: Carica papaya (papaya)
Lineage: Eukaryota; Viridiplantae; Streptophyta; Magnoliopsida; Brassicales; Caricaceae
Description: long non-coding RNA (CPAP_LNC012498)
Source: RNAcentral
AUGUCUUCACGCAAAGAAUCGACGGCGAAUUUUUUAUUAGUCAUCGAAUCGGACAGGUGUCAGUCAAGCGCAUCAUGAUUUAACAUGAACCGGCAGUGCACAGAGUAUUCCAUCUCUCAACAUAUAGUCCUAUUAAAAUGUUCCCGGACUUUCCGGUUCCCAGUUUCCCCGUGUACGUUAAACCCUAAUCUUCCUCUCCCCUGCCCAACAUUUGCUUCCGCUCCUUUUGCUCCUCUCAUUUGUGAACACAGAGUCUCUCUGCUUCAUCACUUGGAUACUCAUGGGUAAUUUGUUAGUUAUAUUGUAUGGUUAUUGUCUGGUUGGAUCUUGCUAUUACGCUUUAUAUCGUUCCAUUUCUACUAAUUUUGUUAUUUUUUUCCCGAUUUUAUGCUUUGGUUUGCAGGGAAGAUUAAGAUCGGAAUCAACGGUACUGGAUCUAAUUUAUACUGAUAUCAAAGAAUUUUAGCUCUGUUUUUAUCUCUUCGGUAAUGAUUUGGUGACUGGUUUUACUGNNNNN